UAAAAGACUGUGAAGAGAAGAGUAAGUAUAGGACGUAAUUUUAGCGAGUCGAUGACGGUGAAAGAUCGAUAUGAAGCCUAUGUGGAAGAACAUCUCUGAGUUUCUAACCGAAAGCUAAGGCCAGUAGAUUUAGACGGCACCACACCGUUAUUCAGUGGACAGUAUAAUUUUGUACUGAUAUGGAGCCGGUCAUUGAUAUGACAAUUAGGGUGGUACCGCGAAUAUAGCUUUCGUCCCUUUA
This 241-nucleotide non-coding RNA is filed under the name Alkaliphilus oremlandii. RNAcentral's name for it is "T-box sequence". It matches the Rfam family "T-box leader". From Rfam's summary of the family: Uncharged tRNA acts as the effector for transcription antitermination of genes in the T-box leader family. The record is from RNAcentral. Lineage: Bacteria; Bacillati; Bacillota; Clostridia; Peptostreptococcales; Natronincolaceae.